CUAAACCACUCAGCGAGGCACGGGGAGGGAGUGGAGGUAACGCGCCCUUCCAGCGAAUACUUAACUAUCGUAAGCAUUCAUAACAAGUGAUCCCAUCUUUCAUAUGAACUAUUUUCUAAAACUGACCUGCUUGAGUUAGAAGAAGAGGUUCUUAUCUCCCAAGUACCCUGUCACAGUGUCCCUUCUCUUAAGUGAUUAAGGAAAGAAAGCCCUCUCACCCAGCUGAAUCUCACUCUGGGAUGCUAAACAAAGGAACACACUGAAAUAUUGGUGUCAUCCUGGACAUGGACGGAAAAUGGCCCUUGCUAGACAAGUACAAGCUCAAUAAAAUUGCUCAAGACCUGCAAAUUCACUACCUGUGGUCCAGAGCCACAGGAAAAUGCCAGCUCCCUUUGGUUCAGUGGUUCAUAAGCUUUUUUGGGGUUUGAAGAAAGCUAUGGAUCUCUCCCUAGAAACAUGCACCACAUACACUCAUACACACAUAAUUCUAUGUAUAAUUUCUAAAGUUUCAACCAUAUACUACAAGAAUCCUUUCUAGUAUCUCUCAUAAAUUUAAAUUCACAUUCCCUAGUACUCUGCAGUCCCACCUCUAGAAUUCAUUCUAAAGAAAUAGUAGCAUUUGAUGUGUAAAUGUGUUGUGUGUAUUUAUAUUAGCAUUGUUUAUAAUAGCAAAAAUAUAAAAACAGCUUAAAUUGAUACUAAUGGGAAAUUAAAGCAUUAUUAAUUUAAUUGAUUCAUAAUGGACUAUUUUGCAGCUAUUAGAGAAUGGGGUAGAACUAUCUGUACUGACUGAAAAUAGGUCUAUGAUAUUCUGCUGUUUAAAA
Molecule: long non-coding RNA, 824 nt
Organism: Pteropus alecto (black flying fox)
Lineage: Eukaryota; Metazoa; Chordata; Mammalia; Chiroptera; Pteropodidae
Exons: 3
Source: RefSeq, a predicted model, not a curated record